CUUUCAUUAAAGUUCUAUGGCAUUAAAUCUUUGCCAUACCUGACAUAUUAAAAUCAAUGUCCUUGUACUUUUAUGUGUACUACGUGUAUACUAAAUUCUAAUAUUAUAUUAUUAUAUUAUUUAUAUUUCGUGGUACGAAAAUAAAUCGGAUGAAAAAAAAUAAAAUUUGCUGAUAAGUAUAAAAAUGUAUCGACUAUACGCUAUAUGUUUACUAAUUACCUGCUAUAAGCGAAAGCAAUUAUAAGAUUUGUUGGUUCCAUGAUAAAUCAAUGGCUCGGAAACCUUAACAAGGAAAAGGACCGGUUCGCGUGACAUCAAGAAGCUGGUAAAGGACCAAGGUCAAACAAGAUCAGUGGGAAAAGAUGCUACAACCGCUGGCACGAUCGACGGAGCCAGCAACGCCAGAGGGUUACGUCUGACAAUUGGUAGUCUGUCCCUACUUGCUCAUCUACGUCGUAUCUUCGUUUUACACUUUAAUAUCAGUUGAUGGAAACGUCCUGUACAUUGAUCAAUUUUUUGGCGUGUCUGUUCGUUUAAAAAUAACGUCAAAUAAUUAAGCUUUAAUUAAUCGGAACAUCCAUAAGUAUUUUUAUUUCUAACAAAACCGAGCAACGUCGUUUAUAUCAAUCUCUUUAUACCCAACAAUAUUAUAAACACAA
This 659-nucleotide unclassified non-coding RNA is filed under the name Bombus terrestris (buff-tailed bumblebee). Its description in RNAcentral is "misc RNA ENSBTSG00005033536.1". Lineage: Eukaryota; Metazoa; Arthropoda; Insecta; Hymenoptera; Apidae. The record is from RNAcentral.